UACGUAGGGUGCAAGCGUUGUCCGGAAUUAUUGGGCGUAAAGAGCUCGUAGGCGGUUCGUCGCGUCGGCUGUGAAAUCCCGAGGCUCAACCUCGGGUCUGCAGUCGAUACGGGCGGACUGGAGUUCGGCAGGGGAGACUGGAAUUCCUGGUGUAGCGGUGAAAUGCGCAGAUAUCAGGAGGAACACCGGUGGCGAAGGCGGGUCUCUGGGCCGAUACUGACGCUGAGGUACGAAAGCGUGGGGAGCAAACAGG
This 253-nucleotide ribosomal RNA is filed under the name uncultured bacterium. RNAcentral's name for it is "partial 16S ribosomal RNA". It matches the Rfam family "Bacterial small subunit ribosomal RNA", at positions 524 to 776 of the family's 1533-position model. The record is from RNAcentral.